This 73-nucleotide transfer RNA is filed under the name Minisyncoccota bacterium. Its description in RNAcentral is "tRNA-Thr". It matches the Rfam family "tRNA". Rfam says of the family: Transfer RNA (tRNA) molecules are approximately 80 nucleotides in length. Their secondary structure includes four short double-helical elements and three loops (D, anti-codon, and T loops). Further hydrogen bonds mediate the characteristic L-shaped molecular structure. tRNAs have two regions of fundamental functional importance: the anti-codon, which is responsible for specific mRNA codon recognition, and the 3' end, to which the tRNAs corresponding amino acid is attached (by aminoacyl-tRNA synthetases). tRNAs cope with the degeneracy of the genetic code in two manners: having more than one tRNA (with a specific anti-codon) for a particular amino acid; and 'wobble' base-pairing, i.e. permitting non-standard base-pairing at the 3rd anti-codon position. The record is from RNAcentral. Lineage: Bacteria; Bacillati; Minisyncoccota.
GCCAUCUUAGCUCAGUUGGUAGAGCAUACCCUUCGUAAGGGUAGGGUCCGGAGUUCGAUCCUCCGAGAUGGCU